GCUUUACAAUGCCAAGUCGAGCGGUAAGGCCCUUUCGGGGGUACACGAGCGGCGAACGGGUGAGUAACACGUGGGUGACCUGCCCUCCACUCUGGGAUAAGCCCGGGAAACUGGGUCUAAUACCGGAUAGGACCACUGAUCGCAUGGUUGGUGGUGGAAAGUUUUUUCGGUGGGGGAUGGGCCCGCGGCCUAUCAGCUUGUUGGUGGGGUGAUGGCCUACCAAGGCGGUGACGGGUAGCCGGCCUGAGAGGGCGACCGGCCACACUGGGACUGAGACACGGCCCAGACUCCUACGGGAGGCAGCAGUGGGGAAUAUUGCGCAAUGGGCGGAAGCCUGACGCAGCGACGCCGCGUGGGGGAUGACGGCCUUCGGGUUGUAAACCUCUUUCGCCAGGGACGAAGAGCAAUUGACGGUACCUGGAGAAGAAGCACCGGCCAACUACGUGCCAGCAGCCGCGGUAACACGUAGGGUGCGAGCGUUGUCCGGAAUUAUUGGGCGUAAAGAGCUCGUAGGCGGUGUGUCGCGUCGGCCGUGAAAACUUGGGGCUUAACUCUGAGCGUGCGGUCGAUACGGGCAUCACUUGAGUUCGGCAGGGGAGACUGGAAUUCCUGGUGUAGCGGUGAAAUGCGCAGAUAUCAGGAGGAACACCGGUGGCGAAGGCGGGUCUCUGGGCCGAUACUGACGCUGAGGAGCGAAAGCGUGGGGAGCGAACAGGAUUAGAU
This 723-nucleotide ribosomal RNA is filed under the name Pseudonocardia sp. YIM 69265. RNAcentral's name for it is "bacterial SSU rRNA". It matches the Rfam family "Bacterial small subunit ribosomal RNA", at positions 46 to 783 of the family's 1533-position model. The record is from RNAcentral. Lineage: Bacteria; Bacillati; Actinomycetota; Actinomycetes; Pseudonocardiales; Pseudonocardiaceae.